Molecule: transfer RNA, 69 nt
Filed under: Sosibia ovata
Lineage: Eukaryota; Metazoa; Arthropoda; Insecta; Phasmatodea; Lonchodidae
Description: tRNA-Met
Rfam family: tRNA
About the family: Transfer RNA (tRNA) molecules are approximately 80 nucleotides in length.
Source: RNAcentral
UAGAAAAAUAAGCUAAAUAGUAAGCUAAUGGGUUCAUACCUCAUCAAUGGAUAUUAAAUCCUUUUUCUA